AGAGUUUGAUCAUGGCUCAGGACGAACGCUGGCGGCGCGCCUAACACAUGCAAGUCGAGCGAGAACCGGGGCUUCGGCCUCGGGGACAGCGGCGAACGGGUGAGUAACACGUGGAUAACCUGCCCUCGGCACCGGAAUAGCCCGGGGAAACCCGGAUUAAUGCCGGAUGGCCCCACAUCCCUGCGGGGAACGUGGGAAAAGGUAGCUUCGGCCUCUGGCCGAGGAUGGGUCCGCGGUGGAUUAGCUUGUUGGUGGGGUAAUGGCCCACCAAGGCGACGAUCCAUAGCUGGUCUGAGAGGACGAUCAGCCACACUGGGACUGAGACACGGCCCAGACUCCUACGGGAGGCAGCAGUGGGGAAUCUUGCGCAAUGGGCGAAAGCCUGACGCAGCGACGCCGCGUGCGGGAAGAAGGCCUUAGGGUUGUAAACCGCUUUCAGGAGGGACGAAGCUACUCGGGUGAAUAGCCCAGAGGGUGGCGGUACCUCCAGAAGAAGCCCCGGCUAACUACGUGCCAGCAGCCGCGGUAAUACGUAGGGGGCAAGCGUUGUCCGGAUUCAUUGGGCGUAAAGAGCGUGUAGGCGGCCAGGUAGGUCGGUUGUGAAAACUGGAGGCUCAACCUUCAGAGGUCGACCGAAACCAUCUGGCUAGAGUCCGGGAGAGGAGAGUGGAAUUCCUGGUGUAGCGGUGAAAUGCGCAGAUAUCAGGAAGAACACCCGUGGCGAAAGCGGCUCUCUGGAACGGUACUGACGCUGAGACGCGAAAGCGUGGGGAGCGAACAGGAUUAGAUACCCUAGUAGUCC
This 802-nucleotide ribosomal RNA is filed under the name uncultured bacterium. RNAcentral's name for it is "bacterial SSU rRNA". It matches the Rfam family "Bacterial small subunit ribosomal RNA", at positions 8 to 796 of the family's 1533-position model. The record is from RNAcentral.